This 1814-nucleotide ribosomal RNA is filed under the name uncultured eukaryote. RNAcentral's name for it is "partial Bacterial large subunit ribosomal RNA". It matches the Rfam family "Bacterial large subunit ribosomal RNA", at positions 1 to 1867 of the family's 2925-position model. The record is from RNAcentral.
GUCAAGCGAAUAAGCGCACACGGUGGAUGCCUUGGCGGUCAGAGGCGAUGAAGGACGUGACAGCCUGCGAAAAGCGUGGGGGAGCUGGCAAUAAGCUUUGAUCCCGCGAUGUCCGAAUGGGGAAACCCACUGCUUCGGCAGUAUCCUGCAGUGAAUACAUAGCUGCUGGAGGCGAACCCGGUGAACUGAAAUAUCUAAGUAACCGGAGGAAAAGAAAUCAACCGAGAUUCCCUAAGUAGUGACGAGCGAACGGGGACUAGCCCUUAAGCUGGAAUGGUUCUAGAAAAACAACCUGGAAAGGUUGGCCAUAGAAGGUGAUAGCCCUGUAUUUGAAAGGGCCACUCCAGUGAAGACGAGUAAGGCGGGGCACGUGAAACCCUGUCUGAACAUGGGGGGACCAUCCUCCAAGGCUAAAUACUCCUGACCGACCGAUAGUGAACCAGUACCGUGAGGGAAAGGCGAAAAGAACCCCGGAGAGGGGAGUGAAAUAGACCCUGAAACCGUGUGCGUACAAGCAGUAGGAGCCCGCAAGGGUGACUGCGUACCUUUUGUAUAAUGGGUCAGCGACUUACAGUUCGUGGCAAGCUUAACCGUAUAGGGGAGGCGAAGGGAAACCGAGUCUGAAUAGGGCGCAUAGUCGCGGGCUGUAGACCCGAAACCGGGUGAUCUAGUCAUGCCCAGGGUGAAGGUGCCGUAACAGGUACUGGAGGCCCGAACCCACUCCCGUUGCAAAGGUAGGGGAUGAGGUGUGAUUAGGAGUGAAAAGCUAAUCGAACCCGGAGAUAGCUGGUUCUCCUCGAAAGCUAUUUAGGUAGCGCCUCAUAUGUAUCCUCUCGGGGGUAGAGCACUGUUAUGGCUAGGGGGUCAUCGCGACUUACCAAACCAUUGCAAACUCCGAAUACCGAGACGGACUGUAUGGGAGACACACGGCGGGUGCUAACGUCCGUCGUGAAAAGGGAAACAACCCAGACCCACAGCUAAGGUCCCAAAUUAUCGCUAAGUGGGAAACGAUGUGGAAAGGCACAGACAGCCAGGAGGUUGGCUUAGAAGCAGCCACCCUUUAAAGAAAGCGUAAUAGCUCACUGGUCGAGUCGGUCUGCGCGGAAGAUUUAACGGGGCUAAGCGAUAAACCGAAGCUUGGGGCGCAUAACUUUGUUAUGCGCGGUAGAGGAGCGUUCCGUAAGCCUGCGAAGGUGGAUUGAGAAGUCUGCUGGAGGUAUCGGAAGUGCGAAUGCUGACAUGAGUAACGAUAAUGCGGGUGAAAAGCCCGCACGCCGAAAGCCCAAGGUUUCCUUGCGCAACGUUAAUCGACGCAGGGUUAGUCGGUCCCUAAGGCGAGGGCGAAAGCCGUAGUCGAUGGGAAGCAGGUUAAUAUUCCUGCACCUCGCGUGAGUGCGAUGGAGGGACGGAGAAGGUUAGGUGUACCGGGCGUUGGUUGUCCCGGGGAAAGGCGGUAGGUUUGGAUCUUUGGCAAAUCCGGGAUCCUUUAAGACCGAGCACCGAGACGAGUCCUUUAGGACGAAGUCACUGAUACCACGCUUCCAGGAAAAGCUCCUAAGCUUCAGCUCACGAAGACCGUACCGUAAACCGACACAGGUGGGUAGGAUGAGAAUUCUCAGGCGCUUGAGAGAACUCGGGUGAAGGAACUAGGCAACAUGGCACCGUAACUUCGGGAGAAGGUGCACCCUCUUUGGUGGCCCAUGCGGGCUAUAGCUGAGGAGGGUCGCAGAAACCAGGCCGCUGCGACUGUUUAUCAAAAACACAGCACUCUGCAAACACGAAAGUGGACGUAUAGGGUGUGACGCCUGCCCGGU